AUGCUUUGUUCCAAGCUACACAGUGGACUGUGUGAGCACCUUAACAAACUUACUCGACAGUUUGUGUGGGGCAGCAAAGAUGGCAGCGUUAGACCGAGCUGGGUCUCAUGGAAGGUAAUGACACAACCAAAGUUUAUGGGGUGCCUUGGUUUUCGAGACUUUGAGGUUUUUAAUCUUGCUUUAGUAGCGAGGCAAUCAUGGCGCAUUUUGCAGACACUUGAAUCCCUACGUGCAAGAUUGCUAAAAGCGAUUUAUUUCCCUAAUUCAUCAAUCCUAACUGCUGAGGUGGGCACCCACCCCUCACAGUUGUGGCGCUCAAUCAGUGAAGGAAGGGAUGUUCUCUGUCAGGGAUUGAUUAGAAGGAUUGGCAAUGGACCAUAUACCCGUGUAUGGAGCGACCAAUGGAUUCAACGAGAUGAAUUUUUGAGACCGUAUGCGUGUCUAUCCAGCCACCCACCCAUGUUGGUCAGUGAAUUGGUUGACAAUACGACUGCCACUUGGCGAUGGAAGAUAAUUGGCCAAGUGUUCUUAGCAGCCGGCCAUGAUGCAAUAAUGGGUAUCCCCAUGUGCAUUAAGAACACAGGAUUUUUGGGCCUGGAAUUUUGA
RNAcentral lists this ribosomal RNA (606 nucleotides) under Triticum aestivum (bread wheat). RNAcentral describes it as "partial small subunit ribosomal RNA". Lineage: Eukaryota; Viridiplantae; Streptophyta; Magnoliopsida; Poales; Poaceae. The record is from RNAcentral.